GCGGGGGUGGUGGAACUGGUAGACACGCUAGAUUUAGGAUCUAGUGCCGCAAGGCGUGGGGGUUCAAAUCCCCCCUCCCGCA
This 82-nucleotide transfer RNA is filed under the name Candidatus Dadabacteria bacterium. RNAcentral describes it as "tRNA-Leu". It matches the Rfam family "tRNA". Rfam says of the family: Transfer RNA (tRNA) molecules are approximately 80 nucleotides in length. Their secondary structure includes four short double-helical elements and three loops (D, anti-codon, and T loops). Further hydrogen bonds mediate the characteristic L-shaped molecular structure. tRNAs have two regions of fundamental functional importance: the anti-codon, which is responsible for specific mRNA codon recognition, and the 3' end, to which the tRNAs corresponding amino acid is attached (by aminoacyl-tRNA synthetases). tRNAs cope with the degeneracy of the genetic code in two manners: having more than one tRNA (with a specific anti-codon) for a particular amino acid; and 'wobble' base-pairing, i.e. permitting non-standard base-pairing at the 3rd anti-codon position. The record is from RNAcentral. Lineage: Bacteria; Pseudomonadati; Thermodesulfobacteriota; Candidatus Dadabacteria.